AUACGGAGGGUGCAAGCCGUUGUUCGGAAUUAUUGGGCCGUAAAGCGCGUGUAGGCGGUCUUUUAAGUCUGAUGUGAAAGCCCCCGGGCUCAACCUGGGAAGUGCAUUGGAAACUGGGAGACUUGAGUACGGGAGAGGAGAGUGGAAUUCCUAGUGUAGGAGUGAAAUCCGUAGAUAUUAGGAGGAACACCCGGUGGCGAAGGCGGCUCUCUGGACCGAUACUGACGCUGAGACGCGAAAGCGUGGGUAGC
This 251-nucleotide ribosomal RNA is filed under the name uncultured bacterium. Its description in RNAcentral is "partial 16S ribosomal RNA". It matches the Rfam family "Bacterial small subunit ribosomal RNA", at positions 523 to 769 of the family's 1533-position model. The record is from RNAcentral.